GACGAACGCUGGCGGCGUGCUUAACACAUGCAAGUCGAACGGAAAGGCCCUGCUUUUGUGGGGUGCUCGAGUGGCGAACGGGUGAGUAACACGUGAGUAACCUGCCCUUGACUUUGGGAUAACUUCAGGAAACUGGGGCUAAUACCGGAUAGGAGCUCCUGCUGCAUGGUGGGGGUUGGAAAGUUUCGGCGGUUGGGGAUGGACUCGCGGCUUAUCAGCUUGUUGGUGGGGUAGUGGCUUACCAAGGCUUUGACGGGUAGCCGGCCUGAGAGGGUGACCGGCCAGAUGGGGACGGGGGUGGGGCCCAGGCGGCGAGGGGAGGGAGGAGGGGGGAGUAGGCCGAAGGGGGGGGGGGGCGGGAGGGAGAGCGCCGGGGGGGGGGGGACGGCCUUGGGGUGGUAAGGCGGUUUCGCCUGGGCGGGGGGGGGGUGAAGGGUAAUGGGGAAGAAAGCCCGGCCAACUAAGGG
Molecule: ribosomal RNA, 467 nt
Filed under: uncultured bacterium
Lineage: Bacteria
Description: partial 16S ribosomal RNA
Rfam family: Bacterial small subunit ribosomal RNA (bases 20-332)
Source: RNAcentral